GGGCCCGCACAAGCGGUGGAGCAUGUGGUUUAAUUCGACGCAACGCGAAGAACCUUACCAGGUCUUGACAUCUUUCUGAAUGGGGUAGAGAUAUUCCAGGCCUUUCGGGGACAGGAGGACAGGUGGUGCAUGGUUGUCGUCAGCUCGUGUCGUGAGAUGUUGGGUUAAGUCCCGCAACGAGCGCAACCCUUGUUGCUAGUUGUCAGCACGUAAUGGUGGACCCUCUAGCGAUACUGCCGGUGACAAACCGGAGGAAGGUGGGGAUGACGUCAAAUCAUCAUGCCCUUUAUGACCUGGGCUACACACGUGCUACAAUGGCCUAUACAAAGGGAAGCAAGACCGCGAGGUGGAGCAAAUCCCAUAAAGUAGGUCUCAGUUCGGAUCGCAGGCUGCAACUCGCCUGCGUGAAGUCGGAAUCGCUAGUAAUCGCGGAUCAGAAUGCCGCGGUGAAUACGUUCCCGGGCCUUGUACACACCGCCCGU
RNAcentral lists this ribosomal RNA (482 nucleotides) under uncultured bacterium. RNAcentral describes it as "bacterial SSU rRNA". It matches the Rfam family "Bacterial small subunit ribosomal RNA", at positions 917 to 1397 of the family's 1533-position model. The record is from RNAcentral.